GACGAACGCUGGCGGCGUGCUUAACACAUGCAAGUCGAACGCUGAAGCUUGGUGCUUGCACUGGGUGGAUGAGUGGCGAACGGGUGAGUAAUACGUGAGUAACCUGCCCUUGACUCUGGGAUAAGCCUGGGAAACUGGGUCUAAUACUGGAUAUGACAUGCCACUGCAUGGUGGUGUGUGGAAAGGGUUUUACUGGUUUUGGAUGGGCUCACGGCCUAUCAGCUUGUUGGUGGGGUAAUGGCCUACCAAGGCGACGACGGGUAGCCGGCCUGAGAGGGUGACGGGACAGACGGGGAAGGAAAGGAGGCAGGGGCUCACGAGGGAGGGAGGAGGGGGGUAGAGGGCAAAAGGGGCGGAGGCUGAAAGACCUAAAGCAGAGGGAGGGAUGAGGGAGUUAGGGUUGGAACCCUAGUACAGCAGGGAAACAGCGGGAGAGGCGGAGGGGUAAUAAGAGGACCGGCAAAGUUCAGAC
RNAcentral lists this ribosomal RNA (472 nucleotides) under uncultured bacterium. RNAcentral describes it as "partial 16S ribosomal RNA". The stretch from base 20 to 336 matches the Rfam family "Bacterial small subunit ribosomal RNA", at positions 47 to 358 of the family's 1533-position model. The record is from RNAcentral.